GGUGGUGCUUGGGUGAUGCACCCCAGAAUUGGGCUCCCUCCUCUCUGGCUCUGGGUGCCUCAUCUGAGAACCGCA
This is a non-coding RNA of Myotis davidii, 75 nucleotides long. The record is from Rfam. Lineage: Eukaryota; Metazoa; Chordata; Mammalia; Chiroptera; Vespertilionidae.